This 460-nucleotide ribosomal RNA is filed under the name uncultured bacterium. Its description in RNAcentral is "partial 16S ribosomal RNA". It matches the Rfam family "Bacterial small subunit ribosomal RNA", at positions 338 to 795 of the family's 1533-position model. The record is from RNAcentral.
CCUACGGGUGGCAGCAGUGAGGAAUAUUGGUCAAUGGACGAGAGUCUGAACCAGCCAAGUAGCGUGAAGGAUGACUGCCCUAUGGGUUGUAAACUUCUUUUAUAUGGGAAUAAAAUGUUCCACGUGUGGGAUUUUGUAUGUACCUUAUGAAUAAGGAUCGGCUAACUCCGUGCCAGCAGCCACGGUAAUACGGAGGAUCCGAGCGUUAUCCGGAUUUAUUGGGUUUAAAGGGAGCGUAGGUGGCUUGUUAAGUCAGUUGUGAAAGUUUGCGGCUCAACCGUAAAAUUGCAGUUGAUACUGGCAGUCUUGAGUACAGUAGAGGUAGGCGGAAUUCGUGGUGUAGCGGUGAAAUGCUUAGAUAUCACGAAGAACUCCGAUUGCGAAGGCAGUUCACUAGACUGCAACUGACACUGAGGCUCGAAAGUGUGGGUAUCAAACAGGAUUAGAUACCCGAGUAGUC